ACUCUACCUCUGAAACUAAUAAUACACUAUAUAUUAAUUAAUUGAAUUUAAAUAAAAUAAAUUGUUUUUUUAAAAAGGUGUGUCUUAUCUUAAAAAAACUUCGAAGUCAUUUAAAGAGGUGGUCCUACAUAUUCUCAUGUGUAUUUCAUAUGCUAGGCUCUGGUAUUCUGACUAGUAUUCUGACUUAAUACAUCUCUUUCCGUUUUUAGUUGAAUUGAAAAUUUUCAUUUACUUUGUUUGGGUUUAAAGUAGCAGCUUUCAAACAAGGGCCCAUACAGACCUGGAAGAGGACAUUGCAGGAGCUCCAAGGUCACGGAAACCUUUAAGGGAAUCAAUUUCCAGAUCCUCAGUCUCUGCACCGGCUCUUUCUGAAAAUGAAUCUCCCAGAGAGAAUGGCUGUGGUGGGCCAGUUAUCCUUCCCCACUGCCCUUCACGAUCACUCUCCUUUAUUCUAUAAAGAAAAGCAUGCGUCUGACCCAUCUCUAAUCUUAUUGUACUGCAGAACAGUGAUAUGUGAGACUGCAAGGCUCCUGCGGAAGGCUCCCGUAAGAGAGAGGCAGAGCAAACUCGGGGUUUUUCACGGAGAUGUAAGUAGGCUCUGUGCAGCAGUCCCAGAAGACGGUCCCAAGAAGACUUUCAGGUCCCUCCAGGAUAGGACUGAUGUCAUCUCCAUCACUUUGAGAGCCCCAGGCUCCUCAUCCAAUAAGCAUUUCUUGAGUGCCCGUUAUGAGACAGGAGGUCUCCCUGGUACAUGGCGCCCUUCCAUCUAGAGAUGGCAGCAAAGACAAUUUCCUUCCUGCAUAAAUAAAUAUGUGUGGAGAAUCAAAGCCUUUUUUUUUUUUCUUUCUUUCCUUCUGCAAGCUUCUCUUUCCCCUCUCUUGGUCCUGCAGAGCGAAGGAAGGGCAAAAUCAGGCAUGCUGUUUUCUGAAUCUUGCAUGUUCAGUGUGAAGCUAAGGCUGAUGUAAGUACCACUGCUCAGUGCUAAGGUGAUUGCUGUUGGGUGCCGUGUGGCAGACAUUGGUGGUUUGAUUUUUCUUUUCCUUUCUUUCUUUCUUUCUUUUUUUUUUUUUUCUUCCUUUUGCUUUAAUCUUUUCACAGUCAGGAAACAAACAAGGAAAAAAUUGGCGUUGUCUCAAUUACCACAUCUCCUACAAGCACUGCUAUUCUUUUAUGCCUCAUGGCCUCCCAGCAGCAGCUUGCAGGAGCUUUUGGUCAUUAAGCUGUCUUGAGCCUGUAAACCACAAGAUAUUUGUGGCUAUUCUAGGAGAACCAGAGCCCAAAGAUAUCAGUCAAUAGCUUUAGUUAGAUCCCAAAGUUCUAUCAAUCUUAGGAGACUCACUUGUUCAAAACACUGUCUCUGUGGAAAUGUUUUUGGUAUGGUUGUAUAGACACCGGAAAUAUUUGCCUUUUGAUAAAAAUCAUUUAUAUUUGGAGAAACAAUUGUAUUUUUGUAACUUCUAAUAGCCCAUUUGGGAUAGUGUUGCCGAAAGUAGGGAAUGAGGUAUAGUGAAAAGCCCAGAAGGUGAGGCCCAUGGCAUCACUUAAAAACUUUCUGAUUGGAGAGAGUUACUCUUUUUUUUUUUUUUAAGAUUUUAUUUAUUCCUUUGAGACAGAGAGAUAGAGAGAGAGCAUGAGCAGGGGGAGGGGCAGAGGGAGAAGCAGACUC
Molecule: long non-coding RNA, 1666 nt
Filed under: Ailuropoda melanoleuca (giant panda)
Lineage: Eukaryota; Metazoa; Chordata; Mammalia; Carnivora; Ursidae
Description: lncRNA (ENSAMEG00000023797.1)
Source: RNAcentral